AGCGAACGCUGGCGGCAGGCCUAACGCAUGCAAGUCGAACGAACUCUUCGGAGUUAGUGGCGGACGGGUGAGUAACACGUGGGAACGUGCCUUUUGGUUCGGAGUAACUCAGGGAAACUUGUGCUAAUACCGAAUGUGCCCUUCGGGGGAAAGAUUUAUCGCCAUUAGAGCGGCCCGCGUCUGAUUAGCUAGUUGGUGAGGUAACGGCUCACCAAGGCGACGAUCAGUAGCUGGUCUGAGAGGAUGACCAGCCACACUGGGACUGAGACACGGCCCAGACUCCUACGGGAGGCAGCAGUGGGGAAUCUUGCGCAAUGGGCGAAAGCCUGACGCAGCCAUGCCGCGUGAAUGAUGAAGGUCUUAGGAUUGUAAAAUUCUUUCACCGGGGACGAUAAUGACGGUACCCGGAGAAGAAGCCCCGGCUAACUUCGUG
This 433-nucleotide ribosomal RNA is filed under the name uncultured bacterium. Its description in RNAcentral is "partial 16S ribosomal RNA". It matches the Rfam family "Bacterial small subunit ribosomal RNA", at positions 29 to 507 of the family's 1533-position model. The record is from RNAcentral.